RNAcentral lists this ribosomal RNA (496 nucleotides) under uncultured bacterium. Its description in RNAcentral is "partial 16S ribosomal RNA". It matches the Rfam family "Bacterial small subunit ribosomal RNA", at positions 29 to 507 of the family's 1533-position model. The record is from RNAcentral.
AUGAACGCUGGCGGCGUGCCUAAUACAUGCAAGUCGAGCGAACAGACGAGGAGCUUGCUCCUCUGACGUUAGCGGCGGACGGGUGAGUAACACGUGGAUAACCUACCUAUAAGACUGGGAUAACUUCGGGAAACCGGAGCUAAUACCGGAUAAUAUAUUGAACCGCAUGGUUCAAUAGUGAAAGACGGUUUUGCUGUCACUUAUAGAUGGAUCCGCGCCGCAUUAGCUAGUUGGUAAGGUAACGGCUUACCAAGGCAACGAUGCGUAGCCGACCUGAGAGGGUGAUCGGCCACACGGGAACUGAGACACGGACCAGACGCCUACGGGAGGCAGCAGUAGGGAAUCUUCCGAAAUGGGCGAAAGCUUGACGGAGCAACGCAGCGUGAGUGAUGAAGGUCUUCGGAUCUUAAAACUCUGUUAUUAGGGAAGAACAAAUGUGUAAGUAACUAUGCACGUCUUGACGGUACCUAAUCAGAAAGCCACGGCUAACUACGUG